Lagopus leucura (white-tailed ptarmigan) is the source of this 505-nucleotide long non-coding RNA. RefSeq lists it as uncharacterized. Lineage: Eukaryota; Metazoa; Chordata; Aves; Galliformes; Phasianidae. The transcript has 4 exons. The record is from RefSeq and is a predicted model, not a curated record.
GUGCAGCAGCAGCUUUUUGUCUCUCUCACACUGCUCCAACUCCAGAACAAGCAGAGAUGGAAAAUUGUUUCCAGAGGCACUACAGAGCAGCAAGUAGGCAGGCUGGUGGAAUAUCAGUCAUGUCAACUACAGUCAGUUGGUCCCCAUGACUGAAGACUUGUGGCCUUGCUCUGACUCCUGCUCCUCACUCCAUUCAGACAUUGUCUGAGCUGGAAGGCACUGUGGCUCUCCUUCCCUUAGAGUAGCUCUCCAGGAGCUGAUGCCAGGCACUCUGAUCAGAUCAACAUGCAUGGAAUCAGUGUCCUGAGUGACAAAAUCCCAACACUUUUCAGAUGCUGUGUAGGAGGAGCUCUGGGUCUUCUCCAACGAAGACACGUUAUUACAGAUGAAUUUUUUACCUAACCUGAGCAAGCCACUGUACUAACGGUGACUGGAGACUAUGUCACGGCAAGGACCCCAGUACAAAGCAAGACUGUGGGCUGGAGCUACUGCUGUGGUGUUGGAG